RNAcentral lists this long non-coding RNA (577 nucleotides) under Ananas comosus (pineapple). RNAcentral describes it as "long non-coding RNA (ACOM_LNC019148)". Lineage: Eukaryota; Viridiplantae; Streptophyta; Magnoliopsida; Poales; Bromeliaceae. The record is from RNAcentral.
AUUUUUGAAGGUUAGGCCAAGGAACUGGUAUUUUAAUAGUUGGGUUAAUUUUAUACAGAUCACUAUAAAUAUAGUGAAUGUCAAUUAUAUCUCUACAAAGUUCUACUUCCAUAUGUUGUUCCUGUAAAAAUUCUAAUUUUUCAAACAUGUCCAUCUGUUUUGUUACCGUUAGAGAACCGUUUAUAUUUUUUAUUUUUUCAUCACAAGUAUGCUCUCCAAAAAUAAUAAAGUAUUUAAUCUAUGUUUAACUAAAUUUUUCUGACGGAUUCUAACGGUAAGAACAUAUUUAAAAAUAUCAAAUUUUUAUAAAAGCAACAUACAAACGUUAAACUUCACAAAUAUAUAUUUGUUAAUUGUUAUAUUUGUGGGGAUCUCUAUGAAUUUUUUUAUUUUUUUAAUUUUUUUGAGAGAUAGGUAGCACACUAUCUGCUUCGUUUAUUUUAUUUAAAAAUAAACUUAGCUGUAAAUGUGAAUCAACUAGGAUUCGAACUUGAGUCUCGAGUAUCAACCACCAAACCCUUUGCCACUUGCUCUUGGGACGGUCGGUGAUCUCUAUCAAAUUAGUCCUUAAUAAUUU